Columba livia (rock pigeon) is the source of this 1057-nucleotide long non-coding RNA. RefSeq lists it as uncharacterized. The record is from RefSeq and is a predicted model, not a curated record. The transcript is spliced from 6 exons. Lineage: Eukaryota; Metazoa; Chordata; Aves; Columbiformes; Columbidae.
GCGGGUUCCUCUUCAAUCGCUCUGUGCCUCUCGGUUGUGUCCGAGCUGUGCACGAGUUGAGAAAGGGGUUUGCAAAGAAAAGAUGUAUGCAAGUACUGCGCCAUGAGCAAGUAAAGGGGCUGUGGUACGCGGCCUGAGGAGGGUGGCGCACAAAAGCUUUGACGGAGAGCUUGCGGUGCAAAGGAAAUGAUUUUGAUGUGUAAGACAGCUCACAGAAAAAUAUGCAGCUAAAACACUGAAAGAGCAAGGGUGUUCUUUCUACAAGGUUGCGUGGCUGUACCUUAUCAGCACCCAUCUUGAGAACAGACAGCUAAACUCUUAGUAGGACACCUGACAGUGAGGGUGCAAUUUACCUCAUCUCCAGCUCACUGAUAAAGCCAUCACACAGAAUAGAUCCCAAGAUGGACCCCUGAGGAACCUGACUCAUAGUAGGAAAAACAUCUUCUUUAGAGGAAAAUGAUCACAGCACUGAAGGCAUAGUAGCUCUUGCUACAAUGAAAGCGUGUUUCUGAGGCAAAUGCAACACAGUUCUUCUCUGGUGAGGACAAUAUGACCUCUUGACAAGUAAAGUCUGUACAGUGAAUGGAGGCAGCUAACUUACUUUGGAAAGAUUAUCUUCACUGACUCAGGUAAGGACCAAGUGUUUCAGAAACUAUUUCUUCUAGGCAAUUUUAGGAUUUUAUGUGGUCUUUUGUUCACCCUGCUACUUUCUGUCCUCCUUUCCUAUGUUGUUGUUGUUUUUUUUUAACCCUGUGAGGGUGAGAGUCUCUGUCUGUCCAUGCUGGGAGUGCAAGGGGUCUAUUUAGUUUCCUUAGAUCUGUAUGAGAGUCCAGGAGUAUGGAAUGAGGAGCUUUUUUAGUUGAUCAAUUCUUUUUGCACAUGGCAUGAGAUGUGUUAAAUUCAAACAAGAAUAUGUGUGUGUGCCUAGCUUCACUGUGUAACACAGUACCAGCUCAGCAGAAGCUACUGCAACAUUUUGAUAAUAUAUUUUAGAUUGUUUUAACUAAAUAUAUUUUAAAUUAGAAAUGUUAGUAUAAUAAGCUCAUUAAGAAAUCUC